Molecule: long non-coding RNA, 1077 nt
Organism: Carassius auratus (goldfish)
Lineage: Eukaryota; Metazoa; Chordata; Actinopteri; Cypriniformes; Cyprinidae
Exons: 6
Source: RefSeq, a predicted model, not a curated record
UCGCACUGUUAAAUAUAUUUAAAUAUAUUUUGAAAACACUUGAUGGUCACGCGCUGUACUGGAGUCACCAUGGAAACGGGGCUCAGCUCAACCGUCAAGCAGCUGAACAGACGCUGUCUCUCAUGGUUGUUUUCACUAAUUUCAGUUUAUAGAAAUGGUCAGUGUCUUCAUGAAAAGUCCGUUAGCAUCUCAACUGUAAUGCUAACUACAAGAGAUUCUUCCAUGCUGAUGGCCGUGCCUGUAUCCAGCUGAAGAACAUUUUUAGACAUUAUGAAACAUAUAACUAAGACUGAAAAUCAUUGAUAAACCACAAGCUCCAACCCCAGUUAAGCAGACCUGAGCAGCCGAUCAAGGAUCAGCAGAAACUCUGCAGAACGGUGGUCCUCCAGCCCAGGACUGGACACCAGUGUUAUGCUGCAGAAAAAAGAGCGAGGCUAAAGCAUUCAAAGUGGAAACAUCUGCCGUGGCUCAUUAAUCCAGAAUUGGGAUGGAGGAAGGAGCAGAAGAAGCAGAAGAUCAGAGAUCAGGCAGAGAUCUACUGGUGCCCCUGUGGGAACCCCAUUUACCUAAUGUGUUAGUUUAACCAAAGAUUUUCCUCACUCACCUUUAUGUUGUUCCAAACCAGACUUUUGUUCAUCCUUGAAACAUAAAUGCGGAACUUUUUAAUGAAAUCUGAGAUUAUUUUCUUUAUAUAAAAUAACACAUUCACACAAGCACCAUGAUGCAUCAGUGUUGCAUUGGCGUGAGAGCUGGCGCUUUUGGUGCUUUUGUGAAAAUCCAUUGGGGAGUCAUAAUUUCUGAAUAGAUUAUUUUUGCUGUUGUUAUUGUUUGUUUGUUUUUUUUUGUACACAAGGCAUCUGUUAAAAAAAUAUCUUAAUUUGUGUUCUGCACAAAAGGGUGUUAUGGGUUUGGGGCAACAUGAGGGUAAGUAAUUAAUGACAGAAUUAAAAUUUUUGGUUGUUCUAAUGUGGUUAUAAUUGGUCAUAGUUUAUUUGUCUUGAAAAAAUAUAUUUAUACAGAAACAUGGAUUAAUUUGAUAAGUUUAUAGUAAAGCCUUUUAAAUUGAUAAAAAAAAAA